Ameiurus melas (black bullhead) is the source of this 73-nucleotide non-coding RNA. The record is from the annotation of a GenBank genome assembly. NCBI's taxonomy places the organism in Eukaryota, Metazoa, Chordata, Actinopteri, Siluriformes, Ictaluridae.
GCGCACGGUGGCUUAGUGGUUAGCACGUUGCCCUCACAACUCCAAAGUCCGGGGUUCGAUUCCCGCCGGGGCC